RNAcentral lists this ribosomal RNA (253 nucleotides) under uncultured bacterium. RNAcentral's name for it is "partial 16S ribosomal RNA". It matches the Rfam family "Bacterial small subunit ribosomal RNA", at positions 524 to 776 of the family's 1533-position model. The record is from RNAcentral.
UACGGAGGAUGCAAGCGUUGUCCGGAAUGAUUGGGCGUAAAGCGUCCGCAGGUGGCUGUGUAAGUCUGCUGUCAAAGAGCAAAGCUCAACUUUGUAAAGGCAGUGGAAACUACACGGCUAGAGUGCGUUCGGGGCAGAGGGAAUUCCUGGUGUAGCGGUGAAAUGCGUAGAGAUCAGGAAGAACACCGGUGGCGAAGGCGCUCUGCUAGGCCGCAACUGACACUGAGGGACGAAAGCUAGGGGAGCGAAUGGG